Phascolarctos cinereus (koala) is the source of this 614-nucleotide non-coding RNA. The record is from RefSeq and is a predicted model, not a curated record. NCBI's taxonomy places the organism in Eukaryota, Metazoa, Chordata, Mammalia, Diprotodontia, Phascolarctidae.
AUAGGAGUUAUGGAAAUGCUUGGUUGGGGUUGGGGGAGGGGGUGGUCCUGCUGUUUUGAAUGUAUUUCCCUGAAAUUGGGCCCAGUGGCCCCAUCAGUUUCUCGGGAUGUUCUGUUAUUUGUGGCUGCUCUUUGUCAGUGGAUGUAGUAGUUGCAUUCCCUUUCUACAUGAGGAUGAUAAACCAAAGACCUUAAAUGUGUUUGUUCUUUUGGCUGGGGGGGGGGAGGCCUGAGGAAGGGAAAGGGGAAGCAGACACUGUGUUUUUUGUUUGUUUGCUUGUUUGUUUUCACGUGAAUGGGAUGGGGAGGGAGAUGCUGUGUCUUUUUCUCGCCCCUCAUAGAAAGAGAAACAAUUAGUACGUCUUGGUGAACUCCGCGGCUCAGUGGGAAGACCUUGUAUUUCCCCACAGGCAUUGUGGAUGUCCGUCCAUUGAUGGCUGUACUGCUGAUUCCUCCACUGUGGAGCACCCAGCGAUGAGCCAAGUCCAUCCUCGGCUGGGGCCACUCGUCAGCGUAAGGGCCUUGAUCUCUGCAGCAUGGUGGUGCAGUUGGGUCAGUGAUUAGUGAGCUGGGUCUGGAAUGAGGAAGAGGAGACCUCAGAUACUGUGUUGCCCC